CCUACGGGAGGCAGCAGUGGGGAAUAUUGGGCAAUGGAGGCAACUCUGACCCAGCAAUGCCGCGUGAGUGAUGAAGGUAAUUGUAUUGUAAAGCUCUUUUCUUUGGAACGAAUAAAUGACGGUACCAAAGGAAUAAGCCACGGCUAACUACGUGCCAGCAGCCGCGGUAAUACGUAGGGGGCAAGCGUUGUUCGGAAUGACUGGGCGUAAAGGGGGUGUAGGUGGUUAGUUAAGUUAGAUGUGGAAUACCCAGGGCUUAACCCGUGUGCUGCAUUUAAAACUGUUAUACUUGAGUACUGGAGAGGAUAGCGGAAUUCCGUGUGUAGCGGUGGAAUGCGUAGAUAUUAGGAGGAACAUCAGUGGCGAAGGCGACUAUCUGGACAGCAACUGACACUGAGGCACGAAAGCGUGGGGAGCAAACAGGAUUAGAUACCCAUGUAGUC
RNAcentral lists this ribosomal RNA (443 nucleotides) under uncultured bacterium. RNAcentral's name for it is "partial 16S ribosomal RNA". It matches the Rfam family "Bacterial small subunit ribosomal RNA", at positions 338 to 795 of the family's 1533-position model. The record is from RNAcentral.